GAUGAACGCUGGCGGCGUGCCUAAUACAUGCAAGUCGAGCGAACGGACGAGAAGCUUGCUUCUCUGAUGUUAGCGGCGGACGGGCGAGUAACACGUGGAUAACCUACCUAUAAGACUGGGAUAACUUCGGGAAACCGGAGCUAAUACCGGAUGAUAUUUUGAACCGCAUGGUUCAAAAGUGAAAGACGGUCUUGCUGUCACUUAUAGAUGGAUCCGCGCUGCAUUAGCUAGUUGGUAAGGUAACGGCUUACCAAGGCAACGAUGCAUAGCCGACCUGAGAGGGUGAUCGGACACACUGGAACUGAGACACGGUCCAGACUCCUACGGGAGGCAGCAGUAGGGAAUCUUCCGCAAUGGGCGAAAGCCUGACGGAGCAACGCCGCGUGAGUGAUGAAGGUCUUCGGAUCGUAAAACUCUGUUAUUAGGGAAGAACAUAUGUGUAAGUAACUGUGCACAUCUUGACGGUACCUAAUCAGAAAGCCACGGCUAACUACGU
RNAcentral lists this ribosomal RNA (496 nucleotides) under uncultured bacterium. RNAcentral's name for it is "partial 16S ribosomal RNA". It matches the Rfam family "Bacterial small subunit ribosomal RNA", at positions 28 to 506 of the family's 1533-position model. The record is from RNAcentral.